This 202-nucleotide non-coding RNA is filed under the name Bacillus wiedmannii. Lineage: Bacteria; Bacillati; Bacillota; Bacilli; Caryophanales; Bacillaceae. The record is from RNAcentral.
AUAAAGUCUUAUUCCGAGGAGUGGAAUGAUGAAGUAACGUUCUGAAACGCUCCCUUUAAUACUCCGACAUGCGAUUUCCUACGUGUAUAUGGAAAUGGUGUGAAGCUCGGUGAAGUCGGGUGAAGUAUACCGUAGUGUUCAGUGAACAACCGAAAAGGCAAUAGAGGUAUUGUCCGUAUAUGAUAGCUCGGAAGUCGUUAAA